RNAcentral lists this ribosomal RNA (433 nucleotides) under uncultured bacterium. RNAcentral describes it as "partial 16S ribosomal RNA". It matches the Rfam family "Bacterial small subunit ribosomal RNA", at positions 29 to 507 of the family's 1533-position model. The record is from RNAcentral.
AGCGAACGCUGGCGGCAGGCUUUACACAUGCAAGUCGAACGGAAACUUCGGGCUUGGUGGCGGACGGGUGCGUAAGACGGGGUAACGCGCCCUUUGGUUCGGAACCACUCAGGGAAACUUGAGGUAAUAGCGGAUGAGACCUUAGGGGGAAAGAUUUAUCGCCAUUGGAGCGGUCAGCGCCUGAUUAGCUAGUUGGGGAGGUAACGGCUCACCAAGGUGGCGAUCUGUAGCUGGGCAGAGAGGACGAUCAGCCACACCGGGACUGAGACACGGCCCAGACUCCUACGGGAAGCAGGAGAGGGGGAUCUAGCGCAAUGGGCGAAAGCCUGACGCAGCCAUGCCGGUUGAAUGAUGAAGGUCGUAGGAUUGUAAAAUUCUUUCAGCGGGGACGAUAAUGACGGUACCCGCAGAAGAAGCUCCGGCUAACUUCGUG